AGUACAGACGAGUUUGAUCCUGGCUCAGAGCGAACGCUAGCGGCGGGCUUAACACAUGCAAGUCGAGCGGAGAGCUUCGGCUCUCAGCGGCGAACGGGUGAGUAACACGUAGGUCACGUACCCUUUGAUGGGGAAUAACCUAGGGAAACCUGGGCUAAUACCGCAUAUGUCCUUCGGGAUGAAAGCCUUCGGGCGUCAGAGGAUCGGCCUGCGGCCCAUUAUUUAAUCCUAGUUGGUAGGGUAAUGGCCUACCAAGGGUACGAUGGGUAGCUGGUCUGAGAGGAUGAUCAGCCACACUGGAACUGAGACACGGUUCAGACUCCUACGGGAGGCAGCAGUGGGGAAUAUUGGACAAUGGGCGAAAGCCUGAUCCAGCCACGCCGCGUGGGUGAUGAAGGCCUUCGGGUUGUAAAGCCCUGUCGGGAGGGACGAAUCAAUGACGGUACCUCCCAAGAAAGCACCGGCUAACUCCGUG
This 475-nucleotide ribosomal RNA is filed under the name uncultured bacterium. RNAcentral's name for it is "bacterial SSU rRNA". It matches the Rfam family "Bacterial small subunit ribosomal RNA", at positions 1 to 507 of the family's 1533-position model. The record is from RNAcentral.